UUGUGUUUCUUGGAUUUUUUGGAGGCAGAAGAGACAGGAGGUACUGUCGGACGUGUUUGUCCCUGCAUAUAAGUGAGAUAUUAGAAACCACGUAGUAUUUCUUAUGGGAAGUCACAAGUCACUAGGAAUGCUUCAGAUAGGGGCAUACAGAAGAACUGGGUUUCCUCAAAACCUGAGCAAUGGGGCGCCCGUCGUCGUCAGAAGAUUCCUCAGGAGCAGCCUGCAAGAAGGGAGAGGAUGGCUAAGAAUAAAAGUAAA
Molecule: long non-coding RNA, 258 nt
Filed under: Lathyrus oleraceus (garden pea)
Lineage: Eukaryota; Viridiplantae; Streptophyta; Magnoliopsida; Fabales; Fabaceae
Description: Pisum sativum (pea) long non-coding RNA (PSAT_LNC020807)
Source: RNAcentral